RNAcentral lists this ribosomal RNA (1124 nucleotides) under Thalassomonas sp. UST061013-077. Its description in RNAcentral is "bacterial SSU rRNA". It matches the Rfam family "Bacterial small subunit ribosomal RNA", at positions 46 to 1159 of the family's 1533-position model. The record is from RNAcentral. Lineage: Bacteria; Pseudomonadati; Pseudomonadota; Gammaproteobacteria; Alteromonadales; Colwelliaceae.
GCUUAACACAUGCAAGUCGAGCGGAAACGAAGAGGUGCUUGCACCUCUGGCGUCGAGCGGCGGACGGGUGAGUAAUGCUUGGGAAUAUGCCAUAAGGUGGGGGACAACAGUUGGAAACGACUGCUAAUACCGCAUAAUGUCUACGGACCAAAGGAGGGGCUCUUCGGACCUUUCGCCUUUUGAUUAGCCCAAGUGAGAUUAGCUAGUUGGUGGGGUAAUGGCCUACCAAGGCGACGAUCUCUAGCUGGUUUGAGAGGAUGAUCAGCCACACUGGGACUGAGACACGGCCCAGACUCCUACGGGAGGCAGCAGUGGGGAAUAUUGCACAAUGGGGGAAACCCUGAUGCAGCCAUGCCGCGUGUGUGAAGAAGGCCUUCGGGUUGUAAAGCACUUUCAGUUGUGAGGAAAGGUUUGUAGUUAAUACCUGCUAGCUGUGACGUUAGCAACAGAAGAAGCACCGGCUAACUCCGUGCCAGCAGCCGCGGUAAUACGGAGGGUGCGAGCGUUAAUCGGAAUUACUGGGCGUAAAGCGUGCGUAGGCGGUUACAUAAGUCAGAUGUGAAAGCCCGGGGCUCAACCUCGGAACUGCAUUUGAAACUGUGUGACUAGAGUAUUGUAGAGGGUGGUGGAAUUUCCAGUGUAGCGGUGAAAUGCGUAGAGAUUGGAAGGAACAUCAGUGGCGAAGGCGGCCACCUGGACAAAUACUGACGCUGAGGCACGAAAGCGUGGGGAGCAAACAGGAUUAGAUACCCUGGUAGUCCACGCCGUAAACGAUGUCAACUAGUUGUCUGUGCACUUGAUGCGUGGGUGACGUAGCUAACGCGCUAAGUUGACCGCCUGGGGAGUACGGCCGCAAGGUUAAAACUCAAAUGAAUUGACGGGGGCCCGCACAAGCGGUGGAGCAUGUGGUUUAAUUCGAUGCAACGCGAAGAACCUUACCAUCCCUUGACAUCCAGAGAAUUUUCUAGAGAUAGAUUAGUGCCUUCGGGAACUCUGAGACAGGUGCUGCAUGGCUGUCGUCAGCUCGUGUUGUGAAAUGUUGGGUUAAGUCCCGCAACGAGCGCAACCCUUAUCCUUAUUUGCCAGCGAGUAAUGUCGGGAACUUUAAGGAGACUGCCGGUGAU